RNAcentral lists this long non-coding RNA (971 nucleotides) under Homo sapiens (human). RNAcentral's name for it is "novel transcript". The record is from RNAcentral. Lineage: Eukaryota; Metazoa; Chordata; Mammalia; Primates; Hominidae.
UCCGACCCGUCCCCCGCGCGCCACUGCAGAGCCUGUCCGUCAGUCCCUAGGUAUCCGCACUGCUCAGGGCAGCUGAUAGAACCAUGGCGACCAUUGCUGCUGCUGCGUUUGAGGCCCUCAUGGAUGGAGUGACAUGCUGGGAUGUCCCCAGAGGCCCCAUCCCCAGUGAACUCCUUCUUAUUGGAGAAGCCGCCUUCCCCGUGAUGGUGAAUGACAAGGGCCAGGUGCUCAUUGCUGCCUCCUCCUACGGCCGAGGCCGCCUCGUGGUUGUGUCCCAUGAGGGCUACCUGUCGCAUGCUGGCUUGGCUUCAUUUCUCCUCAAUGCAGUGAGCUGGCUCUGUCCCUGUCCUGGGGCUCCCGUGGGAGUGCGUCCAUCCCUGGCACCUCUAGUAAACAUCCUACAGGAUGCUGGGCUUGAGGCACAGGUCAAGCCAGAACCAGGAGAGCCCCUAGGGGUUUACUGUAUCAAUGCCUACAAUGACACCUUGACUGCAACGCUGAUCCAGUUUGUGAAACAUGGAGGGGGCUUGUUAAUCGGGGGCCAGGCCUGGUACUGGGCCAGCCAGCACGGCCCUGACAAGGUGCUCUCCAGGUUCCCUGGGAACAAGGUGACAAGUGUAGCCGGAGUGUACUUCACUGACACCUAUGGGGACAGAGACCGGUUCAAGGUCUCUAAGAAGGUGCCCAAGAUCCCACUCCAUGUCAGGAGGAUUCCCUGGGAGCACCCACCAGCUGAGAUCUGCACAUCAGCCACAAUCCUCUCAGGACGGCGGAAAGGGAAGGGCUCAGCCGCCAGCCUGGCCACAGCCUGCAUCAUCUCAUCCCAGAGGCGGAGCACAGGCUCGGGGUCCUUCAGGGCCUGAAGGUUUGUGGUUGGCACUGUCAGGAUGAUGUUGUCCGUGGCCAGCUCUCCCCAGGGAGCCAGGUUCUCCUGCAUCUGCCUCUUCCACUCCUCCAGCGAUGUCUUACCU